UUAGAAGCAGCCAUCAUUUAAAGAAAGCGUAACAGCUCACUGGUCUAAACAAGGGUCUUUGCGCCGAAAAUGUAACGGGGCUAAAGCCAUGCACCGAAGCUGAGGAUGUGCGCAAGCACGUGGUAGCGGAGCGUUCCGUAAGUCUGUGAAGGGGUAUCCGUGAGGGCCCCUGGAGAUAUCGGAAGUGCGAAUGUUGACAUGAGUAACGAUAAAGAGGGUGAGAGACCCUCUCGCCGAAAGACCAAGGGUUCCUGCUUAAAGUUAAUCUGAGCAGGGUUAGUCGGCCCCUAAGACGAGGCGGAAACGCGUAGUCGAUGGGAACCACGUUAAUAUUCGUGGGCCUGGUGGUAGUGACGGAUUGCGUAACUUGUUCAUUCUUAUUGGAUUGAGUGGGCAGCGAAGCGGUUCCAGGAAAUAGCUCCAUCAUUAUAGACCGUACCCGAAACCGACACAGGUGGUCAGGUAGAGUAUACCAAGGCGCUUGAGAGAACUAUGUUGAAGGAACUCGGCAAA
This 513-nucleotide ribosomal RNA is filed under the name uncultured Reichenowia sp. Its description in RNAcentral is "partial 23S ribosomal RNA". It matches the Rfam family "Bacterial large subunit ribosomal RNA", at positions 1106 to 1721 of the family's 2925-position model. Lineage: Bacteria; Pseudomonadati; Pseudomonadota; Alphaproteobacteria; Hyphomicrobiales. The record is from RNAcentral.